This 180-nucleotide non-coding RNA is filed under the name Cryptosporangium arvum. The record is from RNAcentral. RNAcentral also lists the same sequence under 1 other name. Lineage: Bacteria; Bacillati; Actinomycetota; Actinomycetes; Cryptosporangiales; Cryptosporangiaceae.
UGUUACGGUCGGGACGCCAGUCAACCCACGAGGUGGGUCAGGGAACCCGGUGCGAAUCCGGGACUGACGCGCAGCGGUGAGGGGGACGGCCGCGGUACAGGCCACUGGGCUCCCUGCCUGGGAAGGCGCCGCGGCCGGUCGAACCCGAGUCCGAAGACCUGCUGGCGACCGGCGUCCACC